UGAGAGGUUCCCACUGGUUCAGUUCCUUAGAGCAGCUGGAAGAAAACGGAAGAAAAACAGCCCGCUGGUUAAACUUCUCUACACGCAUGGCCCAGGGUAAAGCAGUACUUCACAAGCUAAAAUUCCAGGAAUCGACUUUUGGAUGAGUUACAGGGUUUCAGUGCGGCUUUAAGAGAGAAGUCUGUCAUCUUGGGCCAAGUUUUGAGGGAGCGCUCAGCUUUGCAGCAGAAAGAGGCCGGCUGAGGCAGGAUGUCGCCUGAAGGACAGCACCGGAGCUGCUGAUCUGAGUGCCAAGAGCAGACAGAGAUGAGCAGCCUUUAAAAUGACAACAGAACCUACCGGAUCCAAUGGUCCUCCCACAGCUGGUACUCAGGGAAAAUGGCAGACUGAGGCCUUUCUCGAAGGCUUGCUGCUCCAGCAUCAGGGUGGAGCGCAGCCACAGGUUGUGCGUCUUGCCCAGGUACUUGAGCACACAGGGCCUGAUGGGAAUGGGCGGCACACACUGUGACAUGGCCUCCACGAAGCAGUUGAGAGCACUGGGCUGGCAGUCCCUCUGAGACUGAUGACUGCCGCUGCACAAGAAUGGACCCAUCUCUCCCGACAGAGCCUGCAACGAGGACAUGGUCACACGGUCAGUUUCAGUAUUCAUAGAGUGUGAUUUAAAAAAGGUAAAAAGGAAGAGGUUAAUCAGCCAGGGGAGUGAAAUGGCUUUAAGCAUAAUUCUCAUGGCAACAUAUUAUACACACAGAGAUAUAUAUAUAUAUAUAUAUAUAUAUAUUCUGCAAAUAUGUUCCAAUGAAUAUUUAACAGGCAACAAAAAUUAUAUGUAGAAAGUAAAUGAUUUAAAAGAAUAUCAAAAGCAUCAUAUUCAGAUUUUGUAACAUGCCCUAAUUCCGUCCUCCUUACCAUCAAGCCAAAACAAAGCUAUUAACUAGCCUCCAUUUCUAUUUUUGAGAUGCAGUUUAAAAUUCAUAGCUUUCAUCAUUGCAAAUCAAAGCUAUUUAAUUAAAAUCAUAAUGCUUAAGACAUCUGGCCCAUUAAACUCCUUGAUAUUUGCAUAAACGCAUGAAUUUCUUUCUCAUUACCAUGGUCUGCAUGUGAGAGCGCUGCGGAAAAGGGCAAGGAGUCAAAACGCCUGCCUCCCUGGAGCCUGCUGAUCGGAGCAGUGUGAGGGCCGACACACGCGACCUCUGACACCAUUAAGGACACUGAGCUCAGUACAGGGCUACACUGGCUUCUAACACACUCAGAGUCGACCAAGAACUUAAUCGUUGAAAGUGUACCUGGUUGGCAGCCAUAGGGGAAUUGUUCUUGACCCACUCCUCCACAAUCUUUACCACAGCUCGCAGGAUCUUCGGGUCCGGCGAUUUCUCAAUCAGUGAGGCUUGGUGAGCAGCGUCUCUGAGCCUGGCAUUGACUGACUGCGGCCAAACACCUAGCAAGAGAAAUCCAAGCUGUAAAAAACACCUCGCUAAGGCCCUUGUGUCCAAACAUGGCACUUCGAGUCAGCGAGUGAGAGAUGGGAGAAAGUGGAUGUGCCGACUCGUUGCUAGGUGUAGAGUUUCCUCACCGUGCCG
Long non-coding RNA from Colossoma macropomum (tambaqui), 1577 nucleotides. RefSeq lists it as uncharacterized. NCBI's taxonomy places the organism in Eukaryota, Metazoa, Chordata, Actinopteri, Characiformes, Serrasalmidae. The record is from RefSeq and is a predicted model, not a curated record. The transcript is spliced from 4 exons.